Molecule: long non-coding RNA, 646 nt
Filed under: Homo sapiens (human)
Lineage: Eukaryota; Metazoa; Chordata; Mammalia; Primates; Hominidae
Description: HSALNT0392255
Source: RNAcentral
CCUCGGCCAGGCCCCGGCAGCAGAAGGGAGGCAGCUGUGCUGCAAACUACUGGAGUCCGGACAUGCAGGACCGCAGGCUGCAGGCUCCCAUUUGGCAGAAAGGACUUUUGCUGAAAUCCCCAGCGGGGCACUCGACCCCUCUAGUGGGUUGUGCCAUGCACUCCAUUGUCGCCGCCCCCGACCGGCCCCUGGCACCGUGUCCCUCCUACCUGAGCAGGCUCUGACUCCAGCCCUGGACACAGCUGGGGUGGCCACGGUGACUGCUGAGAAGAGGGGCUGUCCACACAGCCUGGUGGCUUGGAGCCCCGGGACCCCCACACCUGGGCGCCCGACAGCCCCGUGUGCAGGAGACGCACAGCACUCACCGACCCCAGGCGUGACUACGUUUGAGGCAACCAUGAAGGCUUCAGACAUUCAAACUUCUUAAUAGACCAGGCGUGGUGGCUCACGCCUGGAAUCCCAGCACUUUGGGAGGCUGAGCUUUCCUCAUUGGCCGUCAUGCCUUGGAUCAUUAAGGACACUUUGGAACGGAGCUUUGCUAUUCUCUGAAGAUACACAAAAUCCUCCACUGCUCACGUCAUAAUCUAUUUACCAACUGUGGAAAAUUCCGCGGUGCCUGUGGUUUUUAAAGUGAUGCUGAAGCGAG